AUUGAACGCUGGCGGCAUGCUUUACACAUGCAAGUCGAACGGUAACAGGCCUUCGGGUGCUGACGAGUGGCGAACGGGUGAGUAAUGCAUCGGAACGUGCCCAGAGGUGGGGGAUAACGCAGCGAAAGCUGUGCUAAUACCGCAUGUGAUCUGAGGAUGAAAGCGGAGGACCAGGCAGCAAUGUUUGGCCUCGCGCCUUUGGAGCGGCCGAUGUCAGAUUAGGUAGUUGGUGGGGUAAAGGCCUACCAAGCCGACGAUCUGUAGCUGGUCUGAGAGGACGACCAGCCACACUGGGACUGAGACACGGCCCAGACUCCUACGGGAGGCAGCAGUGGGGAAUUUUGGACAAUGGGCGCAAGCCUGAUCCAGCAAUGCCGCGUGCGGGAAGAAGGCCUUCGGGUUGUAAACCGCUUUUGUACGGAACGAAAAGGCUCUGGCUAAUACCUGGGGCUGAUGACGGUACCGUAAGAAUAAGCACCGGCUAACUACGUG
RNAcentral lists this ribosomal RNA (492 nucleotides) under uncultured bacterium. RNAcentral's name for it is "partial 16S ribosomal RNA". It matches the Rfam family "Bacterial small subunit ribosomal RNA", at positions 30 to 507 of the family's 1533-position model. The record is from RNAcentral.